Molecule: ribosomal RNA, 363 nt
Filed under: uncultured Spirochaeta sp.
Lineage: Bacteria; Pseudomonadati; Spirochaetota; Spirochaetia; Spirochaetales; Spirochaetaceae
Description: bacterial SSU rRNA
Rfam family: Bacterial small subunit ribosomal RNA
Source: RNAcentral
GCUGCGGCCGGCGCACAGGUGCUGCAUGGCUGUCGUCAGCUCGUGCUGUGAAGUGUUGGGUUAAGUCCCGCAACGAGCGCAACCCCUGCUGCCUGUUGCCACCACGAGAGGUGGGGACUCAGGCGGGACCGCCGGUGACAAACCGGAGGAAGGUGGGGACGGACGUCAAGUCAUCAUGGCCCUUAUGUCCUGGGCUACACACGUGCUACAAUGGCCGGUACAGAGCGCAGCGAGGCCGCGAGGCGGAGCGAAUCGCUUAAAGCCGGUCCCAGUACGGAUUGGAGUCUGCAACCCGACUCCAUGAAGUUGGAAUCGCUAGUAAUCGCGCAUCAGCAUGGCGCGGUGAAUACGUUCCCGGGCCUU